AAGGUGGGGAUGACGUCAAAUCAUCAUGCCCCUUAUGAUUUGGGCUACACACGUGCUACAAUGGACAAUACAAAGGGUAGCGAAACCGCGAGGUCAAGCAAAUCCCAUAAAGUUGUUCUCAGUUCGGAUUGUAGUCUGCAACUCGACUAUAUGAAGCUGGAAUCGCUAGUAAUCGUAGAUCAGCAUGCUACGGUGAAUACGUUCCCGGGUCUUGUACACACCGCCCGUCACACCACGAGAGUUUGUAACACCCGAAGCCGGUGGAGUAACCAUUUGGAGCUAGCCGUCGAAGGUGGGACAAAUGAUUGGGGUGAAGUCGUAACAAGGUAGCCGUAUCGGAAGGUGCGGCUGGAUCACCUCCUUUCUAAGGA
This 371-nucleotide ribosomal RNA is filed under the name Staphylococcus epidermidis. RNAcentral's name for it is "bacterial SSU rRNA". It matches the Rfam family "Bacterial small subunit ribosomal RNA", at positions 1170 to 1533 of the family's 1533-position model. Lineage: Bacteria; Bacillati; Bacillota; Bacilli; Caryophanales; Staphylococcaceae. The record is from RNAcentral.